CAUGAUAUACUUUUAAAUUUGAUUAUUGACUCAAACUUUUGCCCAACAAACUAUGGGCACAAAACUGAGAGAAAAAGAGAUACAGUUGAAAUGCAAUUCUGUUGUUGGUUCCUUUCACAUAUAGUUUGAACAACAAAAUGUUAUCAACAUGUACCUUUCUUGCAGUUUCGGGUAUAUUACAACUGAUAACAAGAAAGUGAGAACAUUAACAUGAUGAUGUCUGUAAUUUCCACUAAUCUACACAACUCUGCUUGCUCUAAUUGGAUUGUCAUAUAGAUUCUCUUGCCAGCUGAUUUUUUGGCUUUAUAUCACAUUUCCAAUGACUUCUAGGCUCUUAACUGUGCAACAAUGUCCUAACAGGUGCGGUGACUGGAUGUGUCGGCAAUUUCUGUGUUGUUGCAAACUGAUGGAUUAAAUCUUGAAUUCCCAUAAAUGCCACUAAGAACUCUGCUGCGUCAGUUUGGCUUAACACCUUCAUUGCCACCAAUUCCAAUGCCUUAAACCUGUGAUACAUUUACUGAUAUAUUUAUACACUAUGCAGUCUGUAGAACUCACAUUUCUGGUAGUAACUACAGUUACUAGUUUAUUUAUUCUGCCUACUAUAUAUAGAAAACAUAUGCAUUGGAAUGGCAUGCCCUUAUCAAAUGCAUGCAUAGAAAAUAUGGUAGCAUCUAUCUUUUAUACUGGUGUUAGAACAGAUACUUUUAAAUGUCAUAAGUGCUGCAUUCAGAUAGUCAUUUAGUUUGGUUCUAAAGGGGAAGAAAGUGGACCUGAGCUGUUGGGCCUUAGUGAUGACCUUCUCAAUCUUCUUGAACUCAGCUUGAAUGCAAGCCAAUCUAGUAGUACGUGAUGGAUACUUGUUGAAAGGAGCAAAGGGAAGGUGAAAGAUACAUGUGGCUUGAAUCUCAGCCAUUUCCUCAUCAAUUAUUACCUCCUCAACACGUAUUUCACUGAUAACCUGAGAGAGGAGCCUUUCCAUGUCAUUUGAAUCCUUUAAGGAUGAUGCCCAUAAUGUUGAUGGGAAGUGCACCAGGCCUUGGAGGAGGUCCAGAAUGGCAGAGGGCCGCCGCUCUCCAAGCCAGGCAAGGGCAGCUAAUUCAUUGGGUGGAGCCCAUUUAGGCAUGAGGAAUUGAGCGACAUCCUUUAGCCUGGUUGGGAUCAUGGCUCGGUUGUAAUUUGGAUGGAACCUAUUCAAUUGUUCAUCAAUUAACUGCUCAAAUUCCCCCCUUGCCUUGAGUUGUUUCUGCAGCCUUGCUGCUCGAGUCUUUUGUUCUUGUCUCCACAGACCAUACUUUGCCAAAGAAAGCUUUCCACCUCUUUUGCUUGUUUUUGGCCUGUGGAGGGUCAUGCACUGUACUUUAUGGGCCAUACCAUCCGUCUCAUUAUCUACAUCUUCUGUUUCUUCGUUCUCUUGCUCAUAGCCAUUCUUUUCACAUAUAGUUAGCAACUGAGGUAUCCAAAGUUUGUGUCUCCUUUCUUUUGCGCAUAUGAAUUGAUCAUGUCAUCAAGGCAGAGAUAAGGGGGAAAUAGUAGGGGGAAAAGAAACUGGGAUCUUUCCAACUUUCUGGGAUAUGCAAAGUUAAUUUCAAUGCAUUUUCUUUUCUUUGGGUAAUUUUCUUUCCUCGGAUAUAAGUCUGCAUUUUUUGCAUGUUUAUCACGAAGAAGGAGAUGGAACUUACGAGAGGGUUUGUGCUACUGUCCUUUUCAUUGCUCUUUCUAGGUUGAUUAUUCGUUCGUGAUUUUCAUCUUCUUCUCCUUCUCUGCUUUGCAAACCCUCAAGAGUAGUUGGGAAGUGGGAGACCAUAAUUCACAAGGCAUAUCCGGGCUACUUUGGUAAUUUUAAAAGGUCAGCCUUCGAUUUUGGGCCUAUCUGCGGUGUGGUCGAUCGGUUGAGUGGGA
RNAcentral lists this unclassified non-coding RNA (1899 nucleotides) under Hevea brasiliensis (rubber tree). The record is from RNAcentral. Lineage: Eukaryota; Viridiplantae; Streptophyta; Magnoliopsida; Malpighiales; Euphorbiaceae.